ACUAAAAGUCGUAACAAGGUUUCCGUAGGUGAACCUGCGGAAGGAUCAUUAAAGAAAUUUAAUAAUUUUGAAAAUGGAUUUUUUUUUUUGUUUUGGCAAGAGCAUGAGAGCUUUUACUGGGCAAGAAGACAAGAGAUGGAGAGUCCAGCCGGGCCUGCGCUUAAGUGCGCGGUCUUGCUAGGCUUGUAAGUUUCUUUCUUGCUAUUCCAAACGGUGAGAGAUUUCUGUGCUUUUGUUAUAGGACAAUUAAAACCGUUUCAAUACAACACACUGUGGAGUUUUCAUAUCUUUGCAACUUUUUCUUUGGGCAUUCGAGCAAUCGGGGCCCAGAGGUUAACAAACACAAACAAUUUUAUCUAUUCAUUAAAUUUUUGUCAAAAACAAGAAUUUUCGUAACUGGAAAUUUUAAAAUAUUAAA
RNAcentral lists this unclassified non-coding RNA (418 nucleotides) under Saccharomyces cerevisiae (brewer's yeast). RNAcentral describes it as "sequence contains 18S rRNA gene, ITS1". The stretch from base 1 to 51 matches the Rfam family "Eukaryotic small subunit ribosomal RNA", at positions 1781 to 1831 of the family's 1831-position model. The record is from RNAcentral. Lineage: Eukaryota; Fungi; Ascomycota; Saccharomycetes; Saccharomycetales; Saccharomycetaceae.